Molecule: ribosomal RNA, 1006 nt
Filed under: uncultured marine bacterium
Lineage: Bacteria
Description: bacterial SSU rRNA
Rfam family: Bacterial small subunit ribosomal RNA
Source: RNAcentral
CAGUCGAGCGCGAAAACACUUUCGGUGUGAGUAAAGCGGCGGACGGGUGAGUAACGCGUAGGAAUCUACCUAGUAGUGGGGGACAACUCGGGGAAACUCGAGCUAAUACCGCAUACGCCCUACGGGGGAAAGCGGGGGACCUUCGGGCCUCGUGCUAUUAGAUGAGCCUGCGUUGGAUUAGCUAGUUGGUGGGGUAAAGGCCUACCAAGGCGACGAUCCAUAGCUGGUCUGAGAGGAUGAUCAGCCACACCGGGACUGAGACACGGCCCGGACUCCUACGGGAGGCAGCAGUGGGGAAUAUUGCGCAAUGGGCGAAAGCCUGACGCAGCCAUGCCGCGUGUGUGAAGAAGGCCUUCGGGUUGUAAAGCACUUUCAAUUGGGAGGAAAGGUUCACGGUUAAUAACCGUGAGCUGUGACGUUACCUUUAGAAGAAGCACCGGCUAACUCCGUGCCAGCAGCCGCGGUAAUACGGAGGGUGCAAGCGUUAAUCGGAAUUACUGGGCGUAAAGCGCGCGUAGGUGGUCUGUUAAGUCGGAUGUGAAAGCCCCGGGCUCAACCUGGGAACUGCAUCCGAUACUGGCAAACUAGAGUGCGGGAGAGGGAGGUAGAAUUCCACGUGUAGCGGUGAAAUGCGUAGAUAUGUGGAGGAAUACCAGUGGCGAAGGCGGCCUCCUGGCUCGACACUGACACUGAGGUGCGAAAGCGUGGGGAGCAGACAGGAUUAGAUACCCUGGUAGUCCACGCCGUAAACGAUGUCUACUAGCUGUAGGGGUACUUGAGACCUUUGUAGCGCAGCUAACGCAAUAAGUAGACCGCCUGGGGAGUACGGCCGCAAGGUUAAAACUCAAAUGAAUUGACGGGGGCCCGCACAAGCAGUGGAACAUGUGGGUUUAAUUCGAUGCAACGCGAAGAACCUUACCAGGGCCUUGACAUCCUCGGAACUUUCUAGAGAUAGAUUGGUGCCUUCGGGAACCGAGUGACAGUGCUGCAUGGCUGUCGUCAGCUC